RNAcentral lists this long non-coding RNA (2099 nucleotides) under Anas platyrhynchos platyrhynchos (common mallard). RNAcentral's name for it is "lncRNA (ENSAPLG00000019865.1)". The record is from RNAcentral. Lineage: Eukaryota; Metazoa; Chordata; Aves; Anseriformes; Anatidae.
GGUUGAAGCUCUGGACAAACAGGGCAGGAACCCAAGGAACCACAAGGGAAAGCUUCUUCCAAGAAGACUUUUAUCUGCAAAGCUUGUGAUAAGAGCUUCCACUUCUACUGCCUCCUAAAGCUGCACAUGAAAUGUUGUCGGGUGGCCAGAGGAAAACAAAUCCAGUGUAAGGACUGCACUGAAAUCAAAUCCACAAAGAACUGGAGAAACACCAGCUGGAGGUCCAUGGAGCAGUGGGGAUAGCCAAGAAGAAGAGGUGUCACCCUGUGGCAUGUGGCAUCUAUGGCUGAGAGUUUGCUCAUGCCUCAGGUUCCCAUGGUGGAUUCACGGUGGCCCGUGGCGUGUUGGAAGCCACUCCAACAUUUCCUUUGGAAUAAUCCUACCCACAGCAUCAAACCACAGAGGCCUGAGCCACCACAGCCCAGAUUGUGCAGGUGAUUCAGACGUCAGAGGAAGGAGCAGCAGAACACAUCAUCUCUUUUGGAAGCCCAGGUUGCCGUCUCCCAAGUCUUUGUGACAUUGCCCGAAUCCCAGGUUUUUGGGAGCCAGCAACCAUAUGACCCUGCUGAAAUGUUGCGAAGUGCUGCAGCCUUUCUCUCCUUCAGCUGUCUGCGUGGUUUGUCCCCAGGGCUUUGCAGUGACAGUGAAAUGGAGGAAGCGUUAAGGUAACAUGCCACUGACACCAGGAGUGACCAGGAGAUGGUGCUCGAGGUCUUGAGUAGUGCCAGUGGCCAGGUGAGUCUGCUCCUCUGAGGGCCAGCCCCAGCCCCUGGGCUGGCAGGCAGGGAGAGACCUUGAGCUGGUGCCAGGCUGCAGAGCACAGCACCAAGCCCCGGACAUCACUGCUUAAAGGAGAGCCUGAACCUGGGCUGUGCCCACCUGUGGAGAGAGCAAAACACAGGUGAUGCUGAGGUGAAGUGAUGAAAAAGCCUGGGAAGCCCCCACUCCCUGCAGCCAGCAGCAGAGCAGGGAGGAGGCUGCUGGAGAGCAUCACGCAUCCGUCCAGACACAGGGAUGUAGGAAGAGCUGUGCACAGUGCUCAGGCUGAGCACAGAGACAAAGACAGCACAGACAAGCACGCCUAGAAGUGUGUGUGGAAGGUAUGUGAUGGAUUUUGCCCCACAGGUUGGAGAGGUGGGAGCUGAUCCCCAUUUUCUGGAUCCAUGGGGACUUGCAGCUACAGAACUCUUGCACAGGUGUGACAGUGUGGAUGUUUAACCCACAGAACCGUAGGGUAUCUUUAUUCCUCCCCCAGAGGAUGGAAAAUAGGUGGGGGCUCACAGCAGACCCUGGCAUUGCUUUGCAGAUGUCUUGGCCCUCAUCUUGGAGCCAACAUUUGUAGGGAGCUCUUGGUGCAGUUGAUCUUCUUUUGUGGCUGAAAAAUGAAGGAGGAAGAGUAAAGGUCUAGCAGGGCUUAGUGGGAAGUUACCUUCUUUAUAGCCCUCUUAUUAAGGCACAGGGAGUUGGCUAGGGAAGAGCAUGCACAUGGAGCACUUUGGUUUUGAUUUGUUUGGUCCCUGUUGACCAAGCCUUGCCACGGUGACGUGUAAGGCAACAAAAAUCACACACUGGGCGCCAUUCAGGCUCACGUCUCCUGUUUUAGGGCCAUCUCUCCUGUCCGUGGCCCAGAUUUGAGAGCUGCCUGCACCAAUCCCCAGGAGCUGUGCACCCAUGGGUGGCCUGGUGCUGGCUGGGGACACCAGCUGAGGUGCAGUGCAGCUCCAGUGCCCUGUGGGGCAUCCAGGGAACUGAAGACAUCUGCCUGCAAGAGCCUGGGUGGCUGUGUCCCCAGGAGAGCCAUGCUAGCAGUACACACUGAGGGAGAGCUGUAAAGGACACCGUCAGACACCGCUCUAUCAUUACAAGGAGAUAAGGCAGAUCCCCUCCCCUUUCCAGCUGCUUCUUGGUUGGUGAAAUACACGUGUCAGAGCAAAGUGCAGCGUUAGUGACGUCUUUGUCCUGCACGUUUCCCAGGGCACAGCCUGGUCUUGGUAUGCGCGGUGCCAAAGGUACCAGUCACUGCUGAUUUCUCGUUAUGUUGCAAAUCCUUUUCUCUAUGUGAGAAUAAAACUUAGGGAAUGAAGUGCCUCGUUUCGUGU